GAAGUAAAAGUCGUAACAAGGUCUCCGUAGGUGAACCUGCGGAGGGAUCAUUACUGAGUGAGGGCCUUCGGGCUCGACCUCCAACCCUUUGUGAACACAACUUGUUGCUUCGGGGGCGACCCUGCCGUUUCGACGGCGAGCGCCCCCGGAGGCCUUCAAACACUGCAUCUUUGCGUCGGAGUUUAAGUAAAUUAAACAAAACUUUCAACAACGGAUCUCUUGGUUCUGGCAUCGAUGAAGAACGCAGCGAAAUGCGAUAAGUAAUGUGAAUUGCAGAAUUCAGUGAAUCAUCGAAUCUUUGAACGCACAUUGCGCCCCUUGGUAUUCCGAGGGGCAUGCCUGUUCGAGCGUCAUUUCACCACUCAAGCCUCGCUUGGUAUUGGGCGCCGCGGUGUUCCGCGCGCCUCAAAGUCUCCGGCUGAGCUGUCCGUCUCUAAGCGUUGUGAUUUCAUUAAUCGCUUCGGAGCGCGGGCGGUCGCGGCCGUUAAAUCUUUCAUAAGGUUGACCUCGGAUCAGGUAGGGAUACCCGCUGAACUUAAGCAUAUCAAUAAGCGGAG
RNAcentral lists this ribosomal RNA (557 nucleotides) under Cercospora physalidis. RNAcentral's name for it is "eukaryotic LSU rRNA". The stretch from base 200 to 353 matches the Rfam family "5.8S ribosomal RNA". The record is from RNAcentral. Lineage: Eukaryota; Fungi; Ascomycota; Dothideomycetes; Mycosphaerellales; Mycosphaerellaceae.